This 1008-nucleotide long non-coding RNA is filed under the name Gallus gallus (chicken). RNAcentral describes it as "long non-coding RNA NONGGAT004531". The record is from RNAcentral. Lineage: Eukaryota; Metazoa; Chordata; Aves; Galliformes; Phasianidae.
GCGCUGUCUGGACAUGGCCCUGGGCACCCUGCUCUGGGUACCAUGGCUUGAACAAGGGUUGGACCCAGAGACCCCUGCCAACCUCAGACAGUCUGGCAUUCUUUCUCUGAACACAAAAACCAACAGCUGGGAACUGAAAUGUAGCGCAGCGGCCUGAAUUCUGAAGGUCUGCAGGCAGAGAGAACAGAACCUCUUACUGCUGCCCACUGUUACCUCACUGCUGGAAUCAGUGCUGUUACAGAAACUGUUUUUACAUCUUCUGUUAACAGGGGAUGGGAAGGAAAGUAAGAACCCCUGUUUUGGUUUGGACAAUAAAAGAAGCUGUGUGCUAGAAAAGGGACAAUUGGAUAUGGGGGUGAUGAUUUCACAAAGCUCGAGGUUGGUGGUUACCCUGAGCACCUCCACUACAAAGGGCAGCACUCGGGGAAGGGUUGGAGAAGGGAAGAUGCCAGCUGAGGCUGCCACCUCUGUUGCAGCCCUUCUGAACGUGGUCCUUAGGGUUACGGCUGCUGUUCAGAAGUGUGUGUGACAAUGCAUUUAUUGUCAAAGGAAGGGCAGGGUGAGGAGGGAAAUCUCUCUAACUCACUGCCAGGUGGUUUUGACAGCUUUUGUACUUGAAUUUCCACACAUCACAUCACCAGGGAGGAAGAGCUCUGGGUUGCAAACACCUAAACCAGAGCUCAACCACAAACCAUGACGAGAGCACAACCAGACCCCAACGCUGCAUGGCUGCUGCCCUACCACCUUGCCUUGGAGCCACCCCCAGCCACACCGCGUCUUUGGAGGUACAGUUGGUGUUCCACGCUAUGCCUGCACUCCCCUGAAUGGCUUCUUGGCCAUGUGUCCCAGGCAGGUGCUGCUGUGUGCCCUGAAGAAGGGGGACAUCUGCUUUGGGGCAUCCCCAGGCAAAAAGGACGUGUGACUAUCUGCUGUCCUAUCAGAGAGGUGUUAACCUUAAAAAUAAAACAACACUGCAACAAUAUACUGAAGAUUUCAAUAGAAUCAGAG